Molecule: non-coding RNA, 27 nt
Filed under: Rattus norvegicus (Norway rat)
Lineage: Eukaryota; Metazoa; Chordata; Mammalia; Rodentia; Muridae
Source: RNAcentral
UCCGAGAUUGAGCCAAACAGAAGCAUC